RNAcentral lists this long non-coding RNA (907 nucleotides) under Actinidia chinensis (golden kiwifruit). RNAcentral describes it as "long non-coding RNA (ACHI_LNC001153)". The record is from RNAcentral. Lineage: Eukaryota; Viridiplantae; Streptophyta; Magnoliopsida; Ericales; Actinidiaceae.
GGUUCUCUGCGCAAAACCCUAAUCAAGAAAUUCAAGUAAUUAGUUUCUAAAUUGCUUGAGAAACGACGACCUGAAAAUGUGUGAUGGAGGGUUUAUGUGACAAAGAGAACGUGAUGGUGGAUUUCAGAACACAGUUACGCAUCACGGGCUCUGAUUCGUCAGAUUAGCGAGCGGUGGUCGCUUCUUCGACAGUUGAGGUUUCGCCGCCAUGGCGUAUGUGUCGGACACAAACUGCCUCUUGGCCGAAACCAAUGACGACGUUGGUCGAUGAUGAUGAUCGCUGACCGCGAGUCGCCAUUUGUGGGUUCUCUAUGCAAAUCAAGAAUUCAAGUAAUUAGUUUCUAAAUUGCUUGAGAAAAGACGACAUGAUGAUUAAGAGAAAGUGAUGGUGGAUUUCAGAACACAGUUACGCAUCAUGGGCUCUGAUUCGUCAGAUUAGCGAGCGGUGGUCGCUUCUUCGACAGUUGAGGUUUCGCCGCCAUGGCGUUGGACUGGUGUCGGACACAGAGUGCCUCUUGGCCGAAACCAAUGACGGCGUUGGUCGUGGUGACGUUGAUGAUGAUGAUCACGGACCACGAGUCGCCAAUUGUGGGUUCUCUAAGCAAAACCCUAAUCAAGAAUUCAACCGUAAUCAAGAAAUUCGAGUAAUUCGUUUCUCAAUUGCUUGAGAAAUGACGACAUGACAAUGUGUGAUGGAGGGUAUAUGUGACGAAGAGAAAGUGAUGGUGGAUUUCGAGAAAUUAGGUUUUGGGUGUGGCCUUCAAUUUGAUGGUUCUUGGAGAGGUAGAGAGAGAGAGUUUGUUACGAGAGAGAGAAAGUGGUUCGAUGGUUCUUGGAGAGGUAGAGAGAGAAAGUUUGUUACGAGAGAGAGAAAGUUUAUGGGAAGUUUGUUGUGAGAGAGAGCAUG